This 174-nucleotide ribosomal RNA is filed under the name uncultured bacterium. RNAcentral's name for it is "partial 16S ribosomal RNA". It matches the Rfam family "Bacterial small subunit ribosomal RNA", at positions 1318 to 1500 of the family's 1533-position model. The record is from RNAcentral.
CCGUGAAGCUGGAUUCGCUGUAAUCGCGCAUCAGCCAUGGCGCGGUGAAUACGUUCCCGGGCCUUGUACACACCGCCCGUCAAGCCAUGGGAGCCGGGGGUGCUUGAAGUGCGUCGCCGCAAGGCGCGCCCUAGAGCAAAACCGGUGACUGGGGCUAAGUCGUAACAAGGUACC